Molecule: ribosomal RNA, 387 nt
Filed under: uncultured archaeon
Lineage: Archaea
Description: bacterial SSU rRNA
Rfam family: Archaeal small subunit ribosomal RNA
Source: RNAcentral
AAAACUUCACAAUGGGGGAAACCCCGAUGAGGGAAUUCCAAGUGUCAGCACAUUGUGUUGACUGUUCCCCUGUCUAAAAAACAGGAGAAGUAAGGGCCGGGUAAGACGGGUGCCAGCCGCCGCGGUAAUACCCGCGGCCCGAGUGGUGGUCGAUAUUAUUGAGCCUAAAACGUUCGUAGCCGGUCUUGUAAAUCCUUGGGUAAAUCGGCCAGCUUAACUGUCCGAAGUCCGGGGAGACUGCAAGACUUGGGAUCGGGAGAGGUCAGAGGUACUUCUAGGGUAGGGGUAAAAUCCUGUAAUCCUAGAAGGACCACCGGUGGCGAAGGCGUCUGACUAGAACGAAUUCGACGGUGAGGAACGAAGCCCUGGGGCGCAAACGGGAUUAGA